RNAcentral lists this ribosomal RNA (253 nucleotides) under uncultured bacterium. Its description in RNAcentral is "partial 16S ribosomal RNA". It matches the Rfam family "Bacterial small subunit ribosomal RNA", at positions 524 to 776 of the family's 1533-position model. The record is from RNAcentral.
UACAGAGGGUGCGAGCGUUAAUCGGAAUUACUGGGCGUAAAGCGUGCGUAGACGGUUAUUUAAGUCGGGUGUGAAAGCCCCGGGCUCAACCUGGGAAUUGCAUUCGAGACUGAAUAGCUAGGGUACGGUAGAGGGAAGCGGAAUUUCCGGUGUAGCGGUGAAAUGCGUAGAUAUCAAGAGGAACACCUGAGGUGAAGACGGGUUGCUGGGCCAACACUGACGCUGAUGCGCGAAAGCCAGGGGAGCAAGCGGG